GGUCUAAUAGUGUAGAGGUUAUCACACGGGAUUCUGAUAUUUCACAUUUUAGAUGGUAUAUCUUCCCGUGACCCAGGUUCGAGUCCUGGUUAGACCU
RNAcentral lists this transfer RNA (97 nucleotides) under Lentinula edodes (shiitake mushroom). It matches the Rfam family "tRNA". Rfam says of the family: Transfer RNA (tRNA) molecules are approximately 80 nucleotides in length. The record is from Rfam by way of RNAcentral. Lineage: Eukaryota; Fungi; Basidiomycota; Agaricomycetes; Agaricales; Omphalotaceae.